GCAAGUCGUACGCGAAAGUUCCUUCGGGGACGAGUAGAGUGGCGCACGGGUGAGUAACACGUAGUUAACGUACCCUUUCGCUGGGGAUAACUCCGGGAAACCGGAGCUAAUACCGAAUGAGCUGUGAGAAACUGCGGUUUCUUAUGGCAAAGGCGCAAGCCGCGAAAGGAUCGGGCUGCGGUCCAUUAGCUUGUUGGUGGGGUAACGGCCUACCAAGGCGACGAUGGAUAGCUGGUCUGAGAGGAAGAUC
Molecule: ribosomal RNA, 250 nt
Filed under: uncultured bacterium
Lineage: Bacteria
Description: partial 16S ribosomal RNA
Rfam family: Bacterial small subunit ribosomal RNA
Source: RNAcentral